This is a long non-coding RNA of Rhincodon typus (whale shark), 118 nucleotides long. RefSeq lists it as uncharacterized. NCBI's taxonomy places the organism in Eukaryota, Metazoa, Chordata, Chondrichthyes, Orectolobiformes, Rhincodontidae. The transcript has 3 exons. The record is from RefSeq and is a predicted model, not a curated record.
CCCAAUAAUGCUCAAGCCUUUAAUGUAGUCCAUCCGUGGUUGGGCUUGAGGAACACAUCCAGCAACUACCACCUUUUUAUUCUGUUCUUGAGCUUUCCUGAAUUGAAUUUCUGAAGUG